This 410-nucleotide ribosomal RNA is filed under the name uncultured Gammaproteobacteria bacterium. RNAcentral's name for it is "bacterial SSU rRNA". It matches the Rfam family "Bacterial small subunit ribosomal RNA", at positions 9 to 419 of the family's 1533-position model. The record is from RNAcentral. Lineage: Bacteria; Pseudomonadati; Pseudomonadota; Gammaproteobacteria.
GAGUUUGAUCGUGGCUCAGAGUGAACGCUGGCGGCAGGCCUAACACAUGCAAGUCGAGCGGCAGCACGGGUAGCAAUACCUGGUGGCGAGCGGCGGACGGGUGAGGAAUACAUCGGAAUCUGCCUCGUCGUGGGGGAUAACGUAGGGAAACUUACGCUAAUACCGCAUACGACCGAGAGGUGAAAGCGGGGGAUCGCAAGACCUCGCGCGAUGAGAUGAGCCGAUGUCGGAUUAGCUAGUUGGCGGGGUAAAGGCCCACCAAGGCGACGAUCCGUAGCUGGUCUGAGAGGAUGAUCAGCCACACUGGAACUGAGACACGGUCCAGACUCCUACGGGAGGCAGCAGUGGGGAAUAUUGGACAAUGGGCGCAAGCCUGAUCCAGCCAUGCCGCGUGGGUGAAGAAGGCCUUC